ACGGGAGGCAGCAGUGGGGGAUAUUGCACAAUGGGGGAAACCCUGAUGCAGCGACGCCGCGUGAGUGAUGAAGUAUUUCGGUAUGUAAAGCUCUAUCAGCAGGAAAGAUAAUGACGGUACCUGACUAAGAAGCACCGGCUAAAUACGUGCCAGCAGCCGCGGUAAUACGUAUGGUGCAAGCGUUAUCCGGAUUUACUGGGUGUAAAGGGAGCGCAGGCGGUACGGCAAGUCUGAUGUGAAAGCCCGGGGCCCAACCCCGGUACUGCAUUGGAAACUGUCGAACUAGAGUGUCGGAGGGGUAAGUGGAAUUCCUAGUGUAGCGGUGAAAUGCGUAGAUAUUAGGAGGAACACCAGUGGCGAAGGCGGCUUACUGGACGACAACUGACGCUGAGGCUCGAAAGCGUGGGGAGCAAACAGGAUUAGAUACCCUGGUA
Molecule: ribosomal RNA, 434 nt
Filed under: uncultured Roseburia sp.
Lineage: Bacteria; Bacillati; Bacillota; Clostridia; Lachnospirales; Lachnospiraceae
Description: partial 16S ribosomal RNA
Rfam family: Bacterial small subunit ribosomal RNA
Source: RNAcentral